RNAcentral lists this long non-coding RNA (1356 nucleotides) under Scophthalmus maximus (turbot). Its description in RNAcentral is "lncRNA (ENSSMAG00000033826.1)". Lineage: Eukaryota; Metazoa; Chordata; Actinopteri; Pleuronectiformes; Scophthalmidae. The record is from RNAcentral.
CGAAAGUAACCUUCACAACCCUGGUCACCUCCAACCAGGCUCCAAAAAGGAUUUUCUCUUUCGUUUUUUCACUCCGCCUGUCUCCAUAUCAUGUUUAAUGUAACAAGGAGUGGGACAAUCAAAACAGCAGGCAGUCAGCCCUGGUGUCGAGGCUGUGGCUACAGGAAAUUGAUGUGGAGGGAAAUGGCUUGGUGGCAAACUUUUACUAUUAACUCAGUCAUGUAUGGUAGAGGUCGGUGCAGGCAGCUAAAAAAUUGGGCUCCACACAGGCAAUUUUAGGUUUUUGCCAGACUGUGCUCCCCUCAGCUACGGCCUGUUCACACCUCGUUGUCUCCAUCCACCUCCACUCGCUGAUAAUCACGGAGCAGCUCUCUCCUUUUUACACUCCUUUUCUUUUUCUCCCGCUGCAGCUUUGGCCAGGAAGGAGCUUUCACAACUCAACCUGUGUGGCCACCCGACAAGCGAGUCCAAAGUUUUGCAGGAACUCUGCACAGCUAGUCCUCGGUUUUCCACGGGCUCGAGGAAAUGAGAAGGAAGGGAAGAGAGAGUACAGGUUUGAGGUGUUGGUGGACGUGCAGUGGACGGGAUCUCAGUCAGGCCCAACCCCCGCUCCUCCAAACAUGGUUACUUCUGGUUCCAAUGGGUGACUUCACGCGCUACCUGCCUGACCUACCGCAGCGCAUCACGGGGCACAGGGGAAGGUUGAAAUGAGAGGAGAUGGAGGAAGAGGGGAGGAGCAGGCUGAUGGGACAGGACCGUGGGCGAGAAGGGGGGAGGAGAGCAUCACUGGACGCCAAUCAGCACAUCCUCACUCGCCGCCAUUGGCUUGUCUGUCAGCAGUGCGUCUUGGCCUAGACACUGUCACAAUACCGAGGGCCACCAUACACCGGACCCCCGAGAGCCUCCACGGUCCACUGCACAAAUCCACCUCUGCACUCCCUGCCAGUCGCUUAACACUCAGCGACUAUAUUCCCUCAGCGCCAUGUGUGGUCCUCCUCUGUGCUCCAACAAAGAGAAAAAGGAAACCAUAAAGAGAGUUGACUAUUCUACCUGAGGAGAUUAUCUGCCCUUCCCUGAUGGUCACCUACCCUGUAUCUGUAGCUGCUUUCAGGCAUUAGCUUAAGUCUGGACAUUUUCUUGAACUGCUUGACUUUGUUUGUCAUAGAGUAUGUGAACGGCCAACUCCAGAAAACUUACCAAAUAUUGCAGACAUUUGCCGGAAUUUGUGUCUGAAAACAGCAUGUGAGAGGUAUUCAGCUGUGCAAUUUGGAUAUGGGACUAGCUUCUCUCCUGGCUGCUGAUUUCUUCUUCUAUGAAUGGGAAAAAUAUAUUUGUGGAACCGGCCACCAGACUUGU